Molecule: ribosomal RNA, 497 nt
Filed under: uncultured bacterium
Lineage: Bacteria
Description: partial 16S ribosomal RNA
Rfam family: Bacterial small subunit ribosomal RNA
Source: RNAcentral
GACGAACGCUGGCGGCGUGCCUAAUACAUGCAAGUAGAACGCUGAAGAGAGGAGCUUGCUCUUCUUGGAUGAGUUGCGAACGGGUGAGUAACGCGUAGGUAACCUGCCUCGUAGCGGGGGAUAACUAUUGGAAACGAUAGCUAAUACCGCAUAACAAUGGAUGACCCAUGUCAUUUAUUUGAAAGGGGCAAAUGCUCCACUACAAGAUGGACCUGCGUUGUAUUAGCUAGUAGGUGAGGUAACGGCUCACCUAGGCGACGAUACAUAGCCGACCUGAGAGGGUGAUCGGCCACACUGGGACUGAGACACGGCCCAGACUCCUACGGGAGGCAGCAGUAGGGAAUCUUCGGCAAUGGGGGCAACCCUGACCGAGCAACGCCGCGUGAGUGAAGAAGGUUUUCGGAUCGUAAAGCUCUGUUGUAAGUCAAGAACGAGUGUGAGAGUGGAAAGUUCACACUGUGACGGUAGCUUACCAGAAAGGGACGGCUAACUACGUG